UAGCUUAGUUGGUAAAGAAUCUGCCUGCAAUGCAGGAGACCCAGGUUCGAUUCCUGG
Molecule: transfer RNA, 57 nt
Filed under: Ovis aries (sheep)
Lineage: Eukaryota; Metazoa; Chordata; Mammalia; Artiodactyla; Bovidae
Rfam family: tRNA
About the family: Transfer RNA (tRNA) molecules are approximately 80 nucleotides in length. Their secondary structure includes four short double-helical elements and three loops (D, anti-codon, and T loops). Further hydrogen bonds mediate the characteristic L-shaped molecular structure. tRNAs have two regions of fundamental functional importance: the anti-codon, which is responsible for specific mRNA codon recognition, and the 3' end, to which the tRNAs corresponding amino acid is attached (by aminoacyl-tRNA synthetases). tRNAs cope with the degeneracy of the genetic code in two manners: having more than one tRNA (with a specific anti-codon) for a particular amino acid; and 'wobble' base-pairing, i.e. permitting non-standard base-pairing at the 3rd anti-codon position.
Source: Rfam by way of RNAcentral